UUUUUUUUUUGUUAAAGAUCUUACUUUAAGUUCUUUAAUUCUAAAAUAGUCUCCUUAAUUUUGGGUUAGUUAAAAAAUAUAUUUUGUUUGAUAAUCUAUGUCUAAAUUCCAAAAAUGACAUGAAUUCAAAGAAUACAUUUGUCACAAAAAUUAAGAAUAAAAAAAACUCAAACUCAAGAUGAUCGAAAUCGUACCAACAGUCAAUACCUCAUCCCAUCAUCAAUCAUGCCUAACUAUGUGUUAUAAAAAAAAGGUUGGAGGAUAUAAACAUAAAAAACUUGUAUUCUGAUAGAGUGUAAUAUUGUUCAAUAUCAAACAUAUCAAAGCUAAAAUACUAUUUGUUUUAUAACUCAAAGUCAAUUUAGUAAAUGGGAUCUUUUGGUUAUAAAAGAAAAAUAGUAAGAUAUUUGUAAAACAAUAUUCUUCACCUCAAGUUCAAAGCUAAAUGUAUAAAUAUCAAGUCAUGUAAUUAAGGCAAAUAAAAAUUUAAAAUGAAUGCAAAAUAUCAUCCAUGCCUUAGUAGAAAAAAAACUCGUUCAUGGGAUUCAUCGAGAAUUAUAUUUGCUCCCUUAUCAAAACCUUUUAGAAUUUCCUUAAAAUGAACAGAAACUCGUUUUAACAAGAAGUUAAAACAACAUUCUGACAUUCACUAACACACACUUUCUUCUCAAACUAAUUUCAUGAAGAUAUUAUAAUAAAAAAAACUUACCACAAUAUUUCUUCCAUCAUUCGUAAUCACUGAAUUUGUCUAUGCCAAAUCAACCAAAAAAAAUACUAGAAUCUUAAAGCAAAAUUACACUUCAUAACAUAGGUCAAAAAGCGAACAUAUGAAAGCAACAUUAAAGAUAAAAUCCCUAUUUUAGUUUCUUAAACAUAGACACAAACUCAUAUUAGGUUUAUUGGAAUCUUUAGAUUACUAGUCUGUUUUUCAAAAUUUUAUAGUUUUUUAACAAAGUUAGUGUGUAUAACAAGUUUUAGAAGCAUAAGCUCUAGGUAACUCAUGUCUCUAUUGACAAAUAAACACAAGAGUAUUAGAAUCAAGACUCUAAUCUAAAAAAAUAAUAUACUUUGAUAUUAAAAGCCUUCAACCGAAACGACCUCACUUCAAGACUACUUGUUGAUUUUUACUUAAACCAAAUCGAAUCUCUUAAAGGUUCCAUAUUAGCGAUAUAAUUAAGAGAGAGUUUAUCUUCAAAGAAAACUUAAUUGCAAAUAUCGUAACUAAAAAGUAUGUUACCUAGUUUCCAAACCGCAAUAACCAACACCAUUUUUCUUACUUUCAAUUAAAGAGACUAAUUUGAUUAGACAAUAUUCAAUUGGAACCAAUGAAUCAAGAAUCAGACAAAACUAGAUUAACAAGUAACUAACUAUAUAUAAUCAUAUAAAUUUUAUUUGUUCAUGAUUAUAUAUCUUAUAACCAUGAUUUUAAAUUGGGAUUACAAUCGCGAAUGCAGUUACAAGUGUUGUGAGUGAUGUCAUUGCAGUUGUUGCGGCUUGUAUUACAGACGUUGCAACAUGAAUUUUGAUAAGGAGGAUCUUGAAAUACAUAGUUGAACGUAUCUAUAUGAAUAUAGGUAAAUUGAAAACAUGAUUUUAAAUGACACAACAAAUUUGAUGCGGUUGUGGAGGUUAAUGUAUCAACAAUAUUAAAAUCGCGGUUAUAAUUUCAAACACAAUUUAAAUAGGCAUGUAGAACAAGAUUAGAGAACAAAAAAGGGAAUAUGAGCAGGGAUGACAAAACGGAUUCGGUCCGUCAAACAUUCUCAUUUUACCCACAUUUUUUGGCCGGACGAGACAAGUUUUAAGACCUGUCCUCUCUGAUAUGUUUGUCCCACCUCGCCCCAUUUUUUGCAGAUUUAGACAUUAACAUGAAAAUUUGCAAUUUUUUGACUUAAAAAUUGUGAUGCUUGCGGGUCUGUUUCUCCCAUACUCUUUUUUUUCUUCGGAGCAGCAUAAGAUUUUAGACUCGCACAUUCAAUAAAGCUCGCCCCAACCCACUCCUCUCCACCCCACCCCAUUUUUUGUGAGUUCUUACGAGAUGGACAAACUCGUUUAUCACCCCUAAACAUCAGAGACAACUAUUAUGUCAAAUAAAUAAAUAUGCUAUAGAUAAGGUUUUCUCGACCUUUAACAUUGUCCAAAAACAAAAAGUCAAGAAUCAAAAAGUUCGAGGAAACUUAUUGAAGUUGUGUAACCUUAUUAUGUAAUGCAGGUAUACUCAUAUGUAAUGUUUCACCCAUAAUUAAAAUAACUAUAUAUUAUGUUUAGAAAUUUGAUUUUUACUUUGUUGAUAUCUUCUUCUUUUUUUAAGAUCAAUGGAGCUAAUUUACAAAAUGACACUAAUUAAUUUUUUUAGUUCGUCCAAGUUUUUAAGUCUUUAACUAAUUAAUUAAUUUCAUGGAGAGGGAAACUGGUUCAUCGAAACUUGUUUAAGGCAUUAAUUAAUAAUUAAUAUAAAGUAAAAUAUUUAUUUCUUUGUUUUAUUGUUACAAAAUAAAUUUUAUACAAUUUGAAUAUUAUAAUAAUUUAUUUAAAAAAUAAAAGAUAGUUUUUUCAAUGAAAAUAUAAAGAUAAUUUAUUUCUUCAAAAAUAAUUAUUAUUUCUAAAAAAAAAUUGAAAUACAGUUUGUGACCAAAACAUUUCAACUCAAAUUUCAUAAAUGACAAUUUUGUAAUUGAUUAUAUAGAAAAUUCCUAUCAAAAUCAAAACUGAUUACUUUUGUGAGGGUUUUUGUGUGACCGAAAUUUUGUGACAUCUUUGUCUUAUCACAAAUUUCAUCAUUAAUAUUAUUGUUUUUUAAUUUUAUAAAAGACAUAAUAUUCCUUCUCUAUUUUUUUUCAUAUAUUGUGAAGAAUUUUGUUUCCUCCCUAAUUUUCGUCACCAAUUUGCAUUUUUAUAAUAGUGGGAGGCUCAAAAUCCAUCUAAAAGAAUUCCAAUAAAAACUUUGACAAUUAAAUACAUAGAGAAAAUAAUUCUUAAUAGUUUUAUUCAUUUAAAAUGAUAUCAAAUGAUAAAUGAGUACAUUAGUCAAUUAUAUUGACUUUGGUUAUACAAAUUUUAUUUUAUUAAUCACAGACAUAGUUAUUGCAGUAAAUUUUAACAUUCUUAAAUUACAUCUUUUUUUAAUUUUUUAAUAGAUAUAUAAUUAUAAUUAUAUGCUAAAAAAUAUGAAAACACAUAAUUAAAAAGAAAUAUUAAAUGAUGAAACCACCUGGAGUUGGUUUAGGUUCAAAUUUCGUUAACCGCAAAUUGCAAAUUAUUUGCAUGUUCUGUCUAAUCAAUUAUGAGCAUUGCUUUAAGUUUAAAGUUUAGAUAGAAGACAACCUCAUAAACAGAUCAAUGUUGUUUUAAAUAAUCUAAUUAAUAUUAAUUUUUACCUUAUUUUAUUUUAUAAUCAUUAAAAAAGAAAAAUACUCAAAUUACCAGGUGAAUACAUAAAUAUUAAAUGACAAUUUAUCAAAUAUUUUCAUAACAUUUAUGCCCAAUCUUUAGUAUGAAAGUAAAUACAUAAUCAUUAAGGAACUUAAUCUAUCAGGAGUUUAACACGUUUACAUCGUUUAUUAACACAAAUUGCUUUAUAUGAUUUCCAACAAAAAAGAAUUGAACAAUCAGAAUCUUGUAAACAUGUUAUAUGUUUAGGUGCUGUAAAAGAAGAACAAAAUAAGUUAAAUGAAGUAUGAUAAAAUAAUAUGUACAAUUUUGGAAUGAAAUAUAUAAAGAAUAAAAAAUAGCUUACCUUCAACUAUCGGUGUAAGGAGAAAUAUGAAAACUAAUAUAAUCUUAACAUAAACAAAUUUUGAAACUAAAGCCAUUUAUUCCUUUGUACAUGUACCAAAAUCUUGUAUCAUUUUAUAAUUUAUAAAGUUCGUCCUCUCCUUGCAUCAAUGAAGUAGUUUGUAAAAAACCAUUAAUUUAAUAAUAAUAGUUAUUAAAUAUCUCUAAGUACUUCAAUAUAUA
This 3957-nucleotide long non-coding RNA is filed under the name Lathyrus oleraceus (garden pea). RNAcentral describes it as "Pisum sativum (pea) long non-coding RNA (PSAT_LNC020338)". Lineage: Eukaryota; Viridiplantae; Streptophyta; Magnoliopsida; Fabales; Fabaceae. The record is from RNAcentral.